This 468-nucleotide ribosomal RNA is filed under the name Veillonella dispar. RNAcentral describes it as "bacterial SSU rRNA". It matches the Rfam family "Bacterial small subunit ribosomal RNA", at positions 28 to 472 of the family's 1533-position model. The record is from RNAcentral. Lineage: Bacteria; Bacillati; Bacillota; Negativicutes; Veillonellales; Veillonellaceae.
GACGAACGCUGGCGGCGUGCUUAACACAUGCAAGUCGAACGAAGAGCGAUGGAAGCUUGCUUCUAUCAAUCUUAGUGGCGAACGGGUGAGUAACGCGUAAUCAACCUGCCCUUCAGAGGGGGACAACAGUUGGAAACGACUGCUAAUACCGCAUACGAUCUGACCUCGGCAUCGAGGAUAGAUGAAAGGUGGCCUCUAUUUAUAAGCUAUCACUGAAGGAGGGGAUUGCGUCUGAUUAGCUAGUUGGAGGGGUAACGGCCCACCAAGGCGAUGAUCAGUAGCCGGUCUGAGAGGAUGAACGGCCACAUUGGGACUGAGACACGGCCCAGACUCCUACGGGAGGCAGCAGUGGGGAAUCUUCCGCAAUGGACGAAAGUCUGACGGAGCAACGCCGCGUGAGUGAUGACGGCCUUCGGGUUGUAAAGCUCUGUUAAUCGGGACGAAAGGCCUUCUUGCGAAUAGUUAGAA